RNAcentral lists this ribosomal RNA (254 nucleotides) under uncultured bacterium. RNAcentral describes it as "partial 16S ribosomal RNA". It matches the Rfam family "Bacterial small subunit ribosomal RNA", at positions 524 to 774 of the family's 1533-position model. The record is from RNAcentral.
UACGAAGGGGCGUAGCGUUGUUCGGAAUGACUGGGCGUAAAGGGCGCGUAGGCGGCUUUUUAAGUCGGGCGUGAAAGCCCCGGGCGUCAACCUGGGAACGGCGCUUGAUACUGGAAGGCUUGAGGGCGGGAGAGGAUGGUGGAAUUCCCCAGUGUAGAGGUGAAAUUCGUAGAUAUUGGGAAGAACACCGGUGGCGAAGGCGGCCAUCUGGACCGCUACUGACGCUGAGGCGCGAAAAGCGUGGGGAGCAAAAC